UACAUGGGGUGCAAACGUUGCUCGGAAUUAUUGGGCGUAAAGCGCACGUAGGCGGUCCGUUAAGUCGGAUGUGAAAGCCCCCGGCUCAACCGGGGAAGUGCAUCCGAAACUGGCAGGCUAGAGUACGAAAGAGGGUCGCGGAAUUCCCGGUGUAGAGGUGAAAUUCGUAGAUAUCGGGAGGAGCACCGGUGGCGAAGGCGGCGACCUGGGUCGAUACUGACGCUGAGGUGCGAAAGCGUGGGGAGCAAACAGG
Molecule: ribosomal RNA, 253 nt
Filed under: uncultured bacterium
Lineage: Bacteria
Description: partial 16S ribosomal RNA
Rfam family: Bacterial small subunit ribosomal RNA
Source: RNAcentral